ACCCUAACCCUUACUACGUAGCCUUCCUCCCCCUCUGCUUCGUCAAGGUACAAACCCUAACCCUUACUACGUAGCCUUCCUCCCCUCUGCUUCGUCAAGGUACAAACCCUAACCCUUACUACGUAGCCUUCCUCCCCUCUGCUUCGUCAAGGUACAAACCCUUACUACAUAGCCUUCCUCCCCCUCUGCUUCGUCAAGGUACAAACCCUAACCCUUACUACGUAGCCUUCCUCCCCCUCUGCUUCAUCAAGGUACAAACCCUAACCCUUACUACGUAGCCUUCCUCCCCUCUGCUUCGUCAAGGUACAAACCCUAACCCUUACUACGUAGCCUUCCUCCCCUCUGCUUCGUCAAGGUACAAACCCUAACCCUUACUACGUAGCCUUCCUCCCCCUCUGCUUCGUCAAGGUACAAACCCUAACCCUUACUACGUAGCCUUCCUCCCCCUCUGCUUCGUCAAGGUACUAACCCUUACUACAUAGCCUUCCUCCCCCUCUGCUUCGUCAAGGUACAAACCCUAACCCUUACUACGUAGCCUUCCUCCCCUCUGCUUCAUCAAGGUACAAACCCUAACCCUUACUACGUAGCCUUCCUCCCCUCUGCUUCGUCAAGGUACAAACCCUAACCCUUACUACGUAGCCUUCCUCCCCCUCUGCUUCGUCAAGGUACAAACCCUAACCCUUACUACGUAGCCUUCCUCCCCCUCUGCUUCGUCAAGGUACAAACCC
Molecule: long non-coding RNA, 728 nt
Organism: Oncorhynchus tshawytscha (Chinook salmon)
Lineage: Eukaryota; Metazoa; Chordata; Actinopteri; Salmoniformes; Salmonidae
Exons: 3
Source: RefSeq, a predicted model, not a curated record